UGAGGAAUAUUGGUCAAUGGGCGGAAGCCUGAACCAGCCAAGUAGCGUGCAGGAUGACGGCCCUAUGGGUUGUAAACUGCUUUUAUACGGGGAUAAAGUCAGCCACGUGUGGUUGAUUGCAGGUACCGUAUGAAUAAGGACCGGCUAAUUCCGUGCCAGCAGCCGCGGUAAUACGGAAGGUCCGGGCGUUAUCCGGAUUUAUUGGGUUUAAAGGGAGCGCAGGCCGGAAGCAAAGCGUGCCGUGAAAUGUAGAUGCUCAACAUCUGAAUUGCGGCGCGAACUGGUUUUCUUGAGUGCAUACGAGGUAGGCGGAAUUUGUGGUGUAGCGGUGAAAUGCUUAGAUAUCACGAAGAACUCCGAUUGCGAAGGCAGCCUACCAGGAUGUAACUGACGCUAAAGC
Molecule: ribosomal RNA, 400 nt
Filed under: uncultured bacterium
Lineage: Bacteria
Description: bacterial SSU rRNA
Rfam family: Bacterial small subunit ribosomal RNA
Source: RNAcentral